GUUUUAUAAAAGAGAGUGCAGAGCAGUAGGCAGUGGUAGAAGCUGAGUCGGGGUCUGAGUGCUCCAGUGCACUGACUGUCUGACAUACAGAGUCUUGCUAAGUUAUCCUGGCUGGCCUCAAACUUGUGAUCUUCUCUCAGCCUUCCAGAUAGCUUGGAUUCCAGCAACAUUGACAUUCUACACCAAAAGAUUCUCUGAAUCCAGGCAAUAAUCCAGCCAAACUCUCAAUAAUGACAACAAAACAUCCAAGGAGGUCCUGAGUCUCGCAGAAGACACCGAAACACCCUGCUGCAGACAGGCAGCCACCUGGUUCCACACUACAAAGACACAGAGGACACCAGACCACCA
This 348-nucleotide long non-coding RNA is filed under the name Heterocephalus glaber (naked mole-rat). Its description in RNAcentral is "lncRNA (ENSHGLG00100034924.1)". The record is from RNAcentral. Lineage: Eukaryota; Metazoa; Chordata; Mammalia; Rodentia; Bathyergidae.